RNAcentral lists this long non-coding RNA (982 nucleotides) under Gallus gallus (chicken). RNAcentral's name for it is "lncRNA (ENSGALG00010029024.1)". The record is from RNAcentral. Lineage: Eukaryota; Metazoa; Chordata; Aves; Galliformes; Phasianidae.
UUGGCGGCCGCGCUUCCCCCGUCGGGGCGACGCUCGGACUGACGGUUAUAAAUGUUAAACAAAUCUGACCGGUUGGACCCGGUGCCGUACAAUUCCAUCUGCACAAAAAUACAGGUUACAAACAAAGGGAAGCAUCAGCAUUAAAAGAAAAGGGAGACAACAACAACAAAAAAAAAAAAAAAAAGGAGGAGGAAAGCAAACGAACAAAAACCCCGAACCGAACCCAACGCGACGUCCUCAGCUCCACGCAGCGCCGAUCCCGUGAAGUUGGAGCGGGCAGAAACACGCACACGGGGGGGGGGACGACGACCAGAAAACCCACCUUUUUACAACAAAAGGUUUUUCUUUCCGAAAAGGGAAAAAUAGAAGAAACGCUCUUAGGAAACGAACGGGACUGCGGGAGCCGAACCUCCUCCCAAAGCACGCCGGGUUUGCGGGGUUGGAAGGCCGACGCCAGAAGAGUUGAAGUUAAGGAAAGCAGCGGGGAGGGGGCGGCCCCGCUUUUCGCUCCCCCCGCUCGUGUGACCCCCAUAACCCCGCAGCAGCGCCGGGGAGGGGUUGAAGUCACACCGCACGCGUUUCUAUGGGGGAAGGGGGGGGAAGAAAACAAAGUUGAAAUGUUUUCAUUUCUACCUCUUUUCUUUUUUUCCUCCCCGUACAUCGCAAAGAGGCGCACAAAGCGGAGCUGCCGGGGGGUCCCGGAGUGGCCCCCGCCGCCGCCCGGCUCUCACGUGGCCCCGCGGCCGCCCCGGGCGGACACAAAGAGGAUUCGUCGUGGAGGUGUUUCGGGGGGUGCCAUUUUUCUGGUUGGUUUUUAAUUAUGAUCUCUUCCCCCCCCCCCCCCCCCCUCCCGGUUUGUUUGCUUAAUUAUUAUUAAUUUGUUUUUUUUUCCCUCUCUCUCUCUCUGCAAAAAUAAACUCCCAACAUCUUAGAUUUUGUUUCUUUAUUGUACAAUUUAUAAAACAUCGCGCUGCCCUCCCGC